AUGGCCAGUUCUACCAAAGAUGGGUUCCGCUGCAUGAUCCCCGAGACACCCGCGCCGGGACCAAGGGUUUCAUUAAGGUCACCUUGUCCGUGAGGGCGCGCGGGGACCUGCCCCCUCCAAUGCUACCCCCGGCCCCAGGGCACUGUUCGGACAUCGAGAAGAACCUGCUCCUGCCGCGCGGGGUGCCCGCCGAGAGGCCAUGGGCGCGGCUCCGCGUGCGCCUGUACCGCGCCGAGGGGCUUCCCGCGCUGCGCCUGGGGCUGCUGGGCAGCCUGGUCCGCGCCCUGCACGACCAGCGCGUCCUGGUGGAGCCCUAUGUGCGGGUGUCUUUCCUGGGGCAGGAGGGCGAGACGUCGGUGAGCGCCGAGGCGGCGGCGCCCGAAUGGAACGAGCAGCUGAGCUUCGUGGAGCUCUUCCCGCCGCUGACGCGCAGCCUCCGCCUGCAGCUGCGGGACGACGCGCCCCUGGUCGACGCGGCACUCGCUACGCACGUGCCGGACCUGAGGCGGAUCUCCCAUCCGGGCCGCGCGGCGGGGUUUAACCCUACCUUCGGCCCGGCCUGGGUGCCCCUCUAUGGCUCGCCCCCCGGCGCGGGGCUCCGGGAUAGUCUUCAAGGUCUCAACGAAGGCGUUGGCCAAGGCAUUUGGUUCCGCGGCCGCCUUCUGCUGGCUGUGUCCAUGCAGGUGUUGGAAGGGAGAGCUGAACCUGAGCCUCCCCAGGCCCAGCAGGGGUCCACGUUGUCCCGGCUCACCCGAAAGAAGAAAAAGAAAGCCAGAAGGGAUCAGACCCCAAAGGCGGUUCCGCAGCACUUGGACGCCAGCCCCGGUGCCGAGGGGCCUGAGAUCCCCCGUGCCAUGGAGGUGGAGGUGGAGGAGCUGCUGCCGCUGCCAGAGAAUGUCCUGGCGCCCUGUGAAGAUUUCCUGCUUUUCGGUGUGCUCUUCGAGGCCACCAUGAUCGACCCCACCGUGGCCUCCCAGCCCAUCAGCUUCGAGAUCUCCAUUGGUCGCGCAGGCCGUCUGGAGGAGCAAUUGGGCCGAGGGUCCAGGGCUGGGGAGGGAACUGAGGGUGCAGCCGUGGAGGCUCAGCCUCUGCUGGGAGCCAGGCCAGAGGAGGAGAAAGAGGAGGAAGAACUGGGGACCCAUGCUCAGCGGCCUGAGCCCAUGGACGGCAGUGGGCCAUACUUCUGCUUGCCCCUCUGUCACUGCAAGCCAUGCAUGCAUGUGUGGAGUUGCUGGGAGGACCACACCUGGCGCCUGCAGAGCAGCAACUGCGUGCGCAAAGUGGCCGAGAGGCUGGACCAGGGGCUGCAGGAGGUUGAGAGACUGCAGCGCAAGCCGGGGCCUGGCGCCUGUGCACAGCUCAAGCAGGCACUGGAAGUACUGGUGGCUGGGAGCAGACAGUUUUGCCACGGUGCCGAGCGCAGGACGAUGACCCGGCCCAAUGCCCUGGAUCGAUGCCGAGGGAAACUCCUGGUGCACAGCCUGAACCUUUUGGCUAAGCAAGGACUGCGACUUCUACGCGGCCUGAGACGGCGCAAUGUGCAAAAGAAGGUGGCACUGGCCAAGAAGCUCCUGGCAAAACUGCGCUUUCUGGCUGAGGAGCUUUUUGCAUACCGCCCCUUAGCUCUAGGCGAGGAUCCA
Long non-coding RNA from Homo sapiens (human), 1640 nucleotides. The record is from Ensembl. NCBI's taxonomy places the organism in Eukaryota, Metazoa, Chordata, Mammalia, Primates, Hominidae.